AGGGUCUGGUCCUUAAAUGUUACUUACACCCCCAUAGCUUGAAACAAUAUAUAUUGUAAUAACCUUAGCUGGAGUGAUUUCUUACUGCUUUUGAUUGGAUAAUAAAGAAAAACUCUCCAUGAGAAUAUCUGGCAGACGUUUCUCUUGGUGAGGUAGAUGUUAAGAGAGAGAGAGAGAUUUUCCCUCUCUCCCUAUCCCAAAUAUCUGUCUUUAUUUUUUGGCCAAUGCUUUGACUCAUGUUGGCAGAGGUGACCCAAAUAAAUGCACUAACACUAGUCAUUUAGGGGGUUAGGGGUUGGGUUAGGAUAAAAAAAAAAAAAAACGUAAUGUACAAGACCCAAGUGUGCUAGUUUCCCUUAUAACGUAGUGUUCCUCCAUCCUUACUUUCUUUUUUUUCUCUUUUAUACUGACCCCCCACCCCUUAUCCUUCUUGUUCAUGACAUGGGUGUGCAAUGAUUUGCUUUUGGGGGAUAAAACCCACAGUUUGGGAGUGGAGAGGGAUAUUACAGAGCAGGAUGGCCUGGAGUAAGGUACCUCUGCUCUUGCAUGGAUUUCUCCUGCUGGUUCUGUGUAAACCCUGCCUUCAAGGAGGAAUCUAUAUACCAGCUGGUGCAGGGGGAGGAACUGGAGCUGGAUUAGGGGGUGGUCUUGGAACUGGAGCUGGACUUGGUGCUGAAACAGGUCCAGGAGGUGGAUUUGGUGCUAGUAUCAGAAGUGUUGGGCCAGGAGUUAGUUCUGGAGGAGUUGGAACAAGAUUAGGUCCAGGUGCUGGUCCUGGUGGUCUUGGAAUAGGACCAGGAACUGGCAUAAGACCUGGAACUGGUGAGAGUUUACAUUUAUUCUUAAACAUUUCAUGUGUAAUUAGUGUCCUUAGCUUCCAUAUCAGUUCUAUAACAAUCCUUAAUAAAUUAGCAACUAAUAAAAAAUAUUGUAUUGUCGGUGAAAUACCUGCUUUCAAACCAGGAAAGACAGGAGGUAAGUGGCUAAAUGUCUCUUAAUUAUUAAUUUUAAGUUUGAUUAAAUUAAUAUUUACUUGUCCAACUUGGAACAGGUUAUGAAGGUGGUGGUCCUGGGGGGCAAGGUAUUAGACUGGGUGAUGGAGGCCUUGGAGGAGUUUGGCCUGGUGCUGGAGGUCUUGGAGGAAUUGGACCUGGUGGUGGAGGGCUUGGUACAGGGGGACUUGGUACUGGUGGAUUAGGCACCGGAGGCCUUGGAACAGGUUGAUGAAUUUUCCUUUAUAUAUAAUGGUACUAUAAAAUGUACCAUAAAAUGUAAUUAACUUAAUUAAUAUUUUGUAAUUAACAUAUCUAACUAUUUAGGGGCAUGCUA
This is a long non-coding RNA of Cyprinus carpio (common carp), 1329 nucleotides long. Lineage: Eukaryota; Metazoa; Chordata; Actinopteri; Cypriniformes; Cyprinidae. The record is from Ensembl.